RNAcentral lists this ribosomal RNA (119 nucleotides) under Pteropus alecto (black flying fox). The record is from RNAcentral. Lineage: Eukaryota; Metazoa; Chordata; Mammalia; Chiroptera; Pteropodidae.
GUCUAUGGCCAUGCCACCCUGAACAAGCCCGAUCCCGUCUGAUCUCGGAAGCUAAGCAGGGUCGGGCCUGGUUAGUACUUGGAUGGGAGACCACCUAGGGAGACCAGGUGCUGUAGGCG